UGAUGUUAUUUUAAUGAUCGUUGAUCUACAAACAGAGGUGAACGAAGCGCUAUACGCCAUUGAACGAAGAUAGGCUCGAUCCUUUUAAACAUCGCUGAAGGCAGUUAAUCAUGGGGUUUGGCCAACUUGUCAUGCAAACCUAAAUUCGAGUUUAAAAUCUAAAGCUACAACAAAUGAUUAGGAUUUUACUCAAUCGAUUCUAAUCAUCACAGACAAUGACGCAGUGUAAAAUGGCCUGGUGUUUCAUGUCUUGCGAAGGUGUGGCAGUUUUUCGAAACGAAGGACCAUUUUGUGAACAUUUUGCUCAUCGCCAAAUACUUGAGCAGACGUUUGAAUUCGUUGUAUUGAAUUUCAUCGUCUUCGUCACUUUAUGCACUUUUACUUAGUGGUCACAGAUAAUUAUUUAUAAGAACUUUAUCACCAUGUGUUACAAAAUAAUCUAAAUCAAGCGUGUGAUCAUUAUUGAUACCAGUUCAAGCGUGUUAAAAUUAGCGGGCCAGCGAUGGACUACUACUGUCGGCGGCAACGAGUGAAUCCGAUCUACCUAAUGGUUAAAUGACGACGUUUCUGGGUAUUUGGACUCGAAAAACGCAGAAAAGUCUAUGAACUAAACGCAGAAUCAACUUCUAGUCUGCGUGUCCAAUAGGCUGCGAUGUUUACAGGUACGAUUCCGUGAAGAACGUCCGCUCGAAGAUCAUACAAAUCAAGGUUGAGAAGGAAUAUGCUUACUAUAUGGUUCUAGCGGCCUUACACAUAAUGCCGAUGUUCUAAUAUCAUGCUGAGCUGAAAAUACUGAGCUAUCAUCUACAAUUUAGCUUAGUACAGGAUGAAACACGCAGUAGACCUCAGUGGCGGAAUGAACCGCUGGAUUUCUACCUAAGAAACUAACACGUCCUAUGACUACUUCCGCUCGAUGUUCUAAAUUAUAUCAAAAAGGUCGGUAACAAGCGUCUAAAGCUAACACAAAGACAGCAUUAUGUUCGUCUGGAGAAAACUUACUAUGCGCAAAUGUUUCAACACAGACGAUGUAUCACACGCGUAUUCUCGUCGCCAUAAUUGGGUAAGAAAUAACGGCCUAAAGCAACAUUACAUGAAGCUACUGACCGCAAAACAUGAGCCGGCGGGUUCGGCUUAUGGUUUUCAUUACCAAUCGUUUUCUUUAUUGACUGUGCUUUGCUCUAUAUUUUCCGUACCGUAUUGUGUGAACGUAACACACGGAAUAUAUACUGUAUUUGGUUUAUAUGAAGCUGCAAUUUUUUUCGCUUUUUGGAAAAACCAAAAGCGUUCUAGUGGUAUAACUAUAUAACAGAGAAAUAAAAAAAUAAGCCGAUCAAAGCUCUGAAGGACUUUUUCCCUAAACACUGGCGUGACGAUCCGAAUUGACACUGUCACGACGUUGCUAAAAUAUUUCCUUCCGAUCCUAGAUAGAUCAGAACCCGAGCUGUAGUUCCGUUUCUAUUAACAAGAGAAACGAAUACUUCUAUGGUCUUGAUUUUGGAUCCAUCAAACGGUGUUAGUUUCUCGCUGGUAGCAAGCUCUUUCAGCGUGCGAUGGCUUGUAUGCCCUCCGGACGCUUCGCCUUACAAAGGCAGUUUAUAAGUUUUUAAAUAAUAACAAAAAACAACCCCGAAUUAGUUGAACAAAGUUAGAUAAAAAAUAACCCGAACACCCUCGUUUACCAGUUUCAAGUUGUUCGUUACACCUAUUACCUGGUCAUUGUGAAGCUGAUAGGAUACGUUUGCAUCGUAGGCUUUUGUGAAGUUUCCAACUAGCUCAUCCGCGUCUGACACAAAAGGUCGUUUCGAAAUUGAUUUCCGCAAUAGUAAAAUACCUAUGUUUUGUGCUUCGAAAACCUAAAUAAAUUGUUUAAGCCAAGCUUAGCAAUUUCAUCGCAACCAUAGUUAGGGUCUUAUAUCACAUGAAAUUAGGCUUUUGUCUAAGUCUCAUGGCAGCAAAGCUCUUUAAUUCAAAGUAUUCAGUUUCGAAAAACCCACUGGUAUCAGCGACAUUUACAGCAUAAAUCGGUACCACUCUGAAAGGUAACGUGGUCAUUGCACGUACCAAAUCUAAAAAUUUCGAUUUCAGCGUAUCUAUCUUCCUCGUUUUGACUGCCACGGGGCAUUAGGUUUCUUAUUAAGCGGGCUCUCUACGCUCACUGCCGGCUAUCCAUUUUCGUAUCAUAGGACAACAGACACUGAUAGGCCUGUGCUAACAUGCUGCUGCUGCUGCUGCUGCUGCUGCUGCCGACAUGUAUGGCUAUGCCAAGUUUGACAACUUAGCCUGUGACAUGUUGGAUGAAUUUUCAUUUAGCUUGAGAAGCCUUUUGCGGCUCGAUGAGCUUAUCUCACUCGAUUCGAUGUACAAACUAACAAAGAAGCCCGUACUCUGGAUAGAUUUUGGAUCAGAUAAGAAAAAAGUAUAUCAAUUAAUGCAUUGUCAUUGCCAAAUAUCUUAGUGACACCAAGUAAUUUUUAGAUCGAUAGAUAAGGAUUGUUAUUUAUUUUCUGCUUCCUGGCUCUAUUAAUUGUUUCCUUCUAAUAUUGUUAACCCCUUACGCGAUUCAAAAAUAUUUUUGUAUUAUUUCGUUUCCAGGCUGUUGUAUGGGUUUACAUUGAGGGUCAAAUGUAUGUUAUCAUGUUCAACCCCGCAUCAGCUGGACUCACGUUUUACGAACCUACGUUCAAUACUCUCCAAUGUUUUUUAGCAUACGGUCUUUAGAUAUUAUCUGCGUAAGAUACGCGAAGUUCAAUUAUAACAUUUUGGAACUGGAGGAUACAUGCCGCCUCGGUCGGCCAUCUUAGAUCUAUGAAGACUACUUGAAGGCAAUUCUGAGGAAGAUGACUGGCAAACAGUUCGUAAAUCGGCCGAUAAGAUCAAUUCCCUUUAUAUGCGUGUAGGUGGCUACUUCGAAUUUAAGGUAUGCAUUCAAAAAUUAGGAGCCUGGUACCCCAUAGAUUUGUUGAAAAGCAAAAGAAAACCCAGCUCCUCUUUUUCUCUCAAUAUUUCGCUCGGUACCGAACAACACAAAGCCAUGACAACAAAUUUUUAAUAUAAAUCAUUGUGGAUAAUGAGAAGAGGUAUCUAUACUACAAUACAAAGCAAACAAAUGAAUAGCUUUAGCAGAUAUGGCUAAGUUUAGAGUUAAACCAGGUUCUAUUCUAACCAUGAUACGCAUUUAAUGGGGCUGGAUACAUUUUAUUCAUUAUGAAAAAAGAGAACAGUUGACAGGGAUCUGCAUGCUGGUCAGUCGCACGAAACGCACAACGUUACCCAAGGGAAAAACAAAACCUCGUAGGUAAAGGGGGAUCAUUCUUCCCCAAUGACAAUGUCAGGCCACACAUGUAACAGGCAAAGUCGCCCCGUAAAAGCUUGAGUAGAAAACUUUAUUGCAUCUAUCAUGUUUUCCAAACAUCGUAUUGACCGACCGCAAACCACAUGUGGUCAUUGGCGAAUGAGAACCGGAACGAUACAUAUGACAAUGAGGAGAGUUUCAAAAAAAUAGCUGGACAAAGUCUUCAACACCUGAACUGAGCAUAGUUUACGAGAACGGAUAUAGAAAUUAUAAAAUAUUAAUGAUAAAUUAGCUAAGAGAUAAUAAGGGCGUAACGGCGGAUACUUGAUCAGUUAAAUUGUUACUAGAAUACUAAUGAUAUGCUGCAUGUUUUUUUCGGAGAAAAACCGUGAUUCCUUACGUUAAAACUCAAUAUUAUAGUUGCUCAUCACUUAGCAAUAG
This 3733-nucleotide long non-coding RNA is filed under the name Varroa destructor (honeybee mite). Its description in RNAcentral is "uncharacterized LOC111252858". Lineage: Eukaryota; Metazoa; Arthropoda; Arachnida; Mesostigmata; Varroidae. The record is from RNAcentral.